This 372-nucleotide ribosomal RNA is filed under the name Ascodesmis sp. RNAcentral describes it as "partial large subunit ribosomal RNA". It matches the Rfam family "Eukaryotic large subunit ribosomal RNA", at positions 304 to 693 of the family's 3401-position model. Lineage: Eukaryota; Fungi; Ascomycota; Pezizomycetes; Pezizales; Ascodesmidaceae. The record is from RNAcentral.
UUUCAUCUAAAGCUAAAUAUUGGCGAGAGACCGAUAGCGCACAAGUAGAGUGAUCGAAAGAUGAAAAGCACUUUGAAAAGAGAGUUAAAAAGUACGUGAAAUUGUUGAAAGGGAAGCGCUUGAGACCAGACUCGAUUUAUGGUGAUCAGCAGUCCUUCUGGGCUGUGCACUUGCCAUUCUUCGGGACAGCAUCGGUUCUGACCGUGUGAUAAAGGUAUUGGGAACGUGGCUCCUCUCGGGGAGUGUUAUAGCCCAGUACGUAAUGACACGAGUUGGGACCGAGGACCGCGCUUCGGCUAGGAUGCUGUCAUAAUGGUCUUCAGCGACCCGUCUUGAAACACGGACCAAGGAGUCUAACAUCUAUGCGAGUGU